This 628-nucleotide long non-coding RNA is filed under the name Anser brachyrhynchus (Pink-footed goose). RNAcentral describes it as "lncRNA (ENSABRG00000006551.1)". Lineage: Eukaryota; Metazoa; Chordata; Aves; Anseriformes; Anatidae. The record is from RNAcentral.
AAUAAAUAUGCACAGAUAUUCUUUCCUUUCUCAGAGGAAAAAGUGUCCCAUUCCAAAAAUCUCCAAAUCUGAACACUCUCUAAUGAAACCUCAGUGAAUGUGGGAACUGAACAGGCACAAUCAAAGUAAAAAAUAGUUGCUUCAGGAUAGAAAUUAAGAAAACCCAUUACACAAGUGAAAAGAAAUACUGGAAAUCUGAUUGAAAUUGUAGGACAGAGAAGUUAUAUUUACAGGCAAUUUGCUGAACUACCUGAGAUGACGUUUGUGACUGUGAUGAUUUCAGCUGACAGCUUGCCUCCGUGGCAUGGCACCAGCAUGCUUUUGGCCAUACUGGUGUUCCAGAGGAAAUAUUCCCCACAGGAAACUUCUCAAACACUUCACUGUCUUCAGAAUUUAACUGUAUGUUUUCCUUUCCCCACAUCAAGCUUUUCUAGAAGAAAAGAUAUGAUGAUGUCUUCCUGGAAACACUGCAGAGACUUAACAGGGACCACUAAGGUGAAAGCAGAGAUCCAAGAUUAAGACUUUUCAGCAGCUGUCUGGAAAGACUUCCUUUCAAGCAAUUACUGUUGCCAGAAAGGUAAAUGACAGCUUCAUUUGUUGCCCAAAAUGUUAAGAAACCAUUAAAUGC